AAGAGUAACUUGGGAAGAUGUGCUGGCACUGCAGGUGCACUCUUCUCAACUAUUCAUCCAAACCCCUGUGCACCUUUUUAAUGAUGCGAAUAGUCGAAAGACUUUCGUGUCUAUUAUAACAUAACCCUAUGAUUAUACUAUUAUUGACGAAUGUAACAAGUUGUAAAUUUAAUA
RNAcentral lists this unclassified non-coding RNA (174 nucleotides) under soil metagenome. RNAcentral describes it as "partial internal transcribed spacer 1". The record is from RNAcentral.